Molecule: ribosomal RNA, 464 nt
Filed under: uncultured bacterium
Lineage: Bacteria
Description: SSU rRNA
Rfam family: Bacterial small subunit ribosomal RNA
Source: RNAcentral
AGGAUGAACGCUGGCGGCGUGCCUAAUACAUGCAAGUCGUGCGGUAACAGGAGGAGCUUGCUCCUUGCUGACGAGCGGCGGACGGCUGAGUAACGCGUAGGAACCUACCCCAAACUGAGGGAUAAGCACCAGAAAUGGUGUCUAAUACCGCAUGUGCUCCACGGAGUAAAGCUUCGGCGGUUUGGGAAGGGCCUGCGUAUGAUUAGCUUGUUGGUGAGGUAAAAGCUCACCAAGGCGACGAUCAUUAGCUGGUCUGAGAGGAUGAUCAGCCAGACUGGGACUGAGAACGGCCCAGACUCCUACGGGAGGCAGCAGUAGGGAAUUUUCCACAAUGGGCGAAAGCCUGAUGGAGCAACGCCGCGUGCAGGAUGAAGGCCUUCGGGUCGUAAACUGCUUUUAUAUGUGACGAAUAUGACGGUAGCAUAUGAAUAAGGAUCGGCUAACUCCGUGCCAGCAGCCGCGGU